Molecule: ribosomal RNA, 203 nt
Filed under: uncultured Enterobacteriaceae bacterium
Lineage: Bacteria; Pseudomonadati; Pseudomonadota; Gammaproteobacteria; Enterobacterales; Enterobacteriaceae
Description: partial 16S ribosomal RNA
Rfam family: Bacterial small subunit ribosomal RNA
Source: RNAcentral
CCCUUACUCCUACGGGAGGCAGCAGUGGGGAAUAUUGCACAAUGGGCGCAAGCCUGAUGCAGCCAUGCCGCGUGUAUGAAGAAGGCCUUCGGGUUGUAAAGUACUUUCAGCGGGGAGGAAGGGAGUAAAGUUAAUACCUUUGCUCAUUGACGUUACCCGCAGAAGAAGCACCGGCUAACUCCGUGCCAGCAGCCGCGGUAAUU